ACUACGGGAGGCAGCAGUGGGGAAUAUUGCACAAUGGGGGAAACCCUGAUGCAGCGACGCCGCGUGAGUGAAGAAGUAUUUCGGUAUGUAAAGCUCUAUCAGCAGGGAAGAAAAUGACGGUACCUGAUUAAGAAGCCCCGGCUCACUCCGUGCCAGCAGCCGCGGUCAUACGUAGGGGGCAAGCGUUAUCCGGAUUUACUGGGUGUAAAGGGAGCGUAGACGGCAGCACAAGUCUGGAGUGAAAUGCCGGGGCUUAACCCCGGAACUGCUUUGGAAACUGUGCAGCUAGAGUGCAGGAGAGGUAAGUGGAAUUCCUAGUGUAGCGGUGAAAUGCGUAGAUAUUAGGAGGAACACCAGUGGCGAAGGCGACUUUCUGGACUGUACCUGACGCUGAGGCGCGAAAGCGUGGGUAGCGAACGGGAUUAGAUACCCCGGUAGUC
Molecule: ribosomal RNA, 440 nt
Filed under: uncultured bacterium
Lineage: Bacteria
Description: partial 16S ribosomal RNA
Rfam family: Bacterial small subunit ribosomal RNA
Source: RNAcentral